AGUGAACGCUGGCGGCAUGCCUAACACAUGCAAGUCGAACGGCAACACAGUAAGCUCGUGCUCCUACGGUUGGCGAGUGGCGGAUGAGUGAGGAGUACAUCGCCUUCUUCUUUUUCUUGGGUAAUUACGUGGGAAAACUUACGCUAAUAGCGCAUAUGUUGUACGGCAGAGAUCAAUGGUGCAUCAGGCCUUUGGUGUUUCAAUGAGCCGAUGCCGCAUUAGCUAGUUGGCUGGGUAAAGGCCCACCAAGGCAACGAUCCGUAGCUGGUCUGAGAGGAUGAUCGGCCACACUGGAACUGAGACACGGUCCAGACUCCUACGGGAGGCAGCAGUGGGGAAUAUUGCGCAAUGGGCGCAAGCCUGACCGAGCAACGCCGCGUGAGUGAUGAAGGUCUUCGGAUUGUAAAGCUCUUUUGUUGGGAAAGAAAAAAAGCAGAAUAAUCUACGCACGUUUUGACGGUACCUAAAGAGUAAGCCCCGGCUAACUUCGUG
RNAcentral lists this ribosomal RNA (492 nucleotides) under uncultured bacterium. Its description in RNAcentral is "partial 16S ribosomal RNA". It matches the Rfam family "Bacterial small subunit ribosomal RNA", at positions 29 to 507 of the family's 1533-position model. The record is from RNAcentral.